GGACUACUAGGGUUUCUAAUCCCGUUUGCUCCCCUGGCUUUCGCGCCUCAGCGUCAGUAGUGGUCCAGCAGGUCGCUUUCGCCACCGGCGUUCCUUCCGAUAUCAACGCAUUUCACCGCUCCACCGGAAGUUCCACCUGCCCCUACCACCCUCGAGUCUCCCAGUAUCCAAGGCACUUUUCCGGUUAAGCCGAAAGAUUUCACCCCGGACUUUGGAGACCGCCUACGCGCCCUUUAAGCCCAGUGAAUCCGAACAACGUUCGCACGGUUCGUCUUACCGCGGCUGCUGGCAC
This 292-nucleotide ribosomal RNA is filed under the name uncultured Planctomycetota bacterium. RNAcentral describes it as "uncultured planctomycete partial 16S ribosomal RNA". The record is from RNAcentral. Lineage: Bacteria; Pseudomonadati; Planctomycetota.